This is a non-coding RNA of Struthio camelus australis, 5687 nucleotides long. The record is from the annotation of a RefSeq genome assembly. NCBI's taxonomy places the organism in Eukaryota, Metazoa, Chordata, Aves, Struthioniformes, Struthionidae.
UCCUCGUUCUCUUUUUCCUUAUUGUCUUGUGGGGAAGAAGCUUGGGAACUGAACUGUGAAGUUCUCCAGAGGCUCUUGGGACUUGAUUUAGCGGCAUGCCCCGCUGCCUUGGCCUCCUGUCAGAUGUUACUCCAUCUCCUUCAGUCUAUAGGUUGACCUCUAAACAUGAUGAAGGUUUGGAAAUGUGCCUUAUCACAGAUUACUCCCCUGAAAAGCUUACUUCUACCAUGACUGAAGGGAAGACAGAUGCUGUUGUCGAGAUGGUAACAUCUGAGAACAAACAGGAAGCAAGCUACUUGUCAACCUACUGGGCCAAGAAAAAUGAAAUGCAGUGCGGUGCAAAGCACGAGGGGUUUGGAGACCUGGAAGGCAAGGAUCCUGAAAGUGGUGCCAGCACUAUCUGUGUAACAGGGGUGUCUCAACACUUCAGGACAGAUGAGAAGCUGAACCUGCUGUCAUUCUCACAGCUGGGCCUGAAAAUAAUUUUAAUGAAGGGAAUAAUUUUUAAUGUGCUGAUAACGAUGCUUAUGUGGAAAAAAAAGAAUGAAAGCAACUAGAUAGCACAGACCUGAAGUACCAUAAAAGUCUGCUGAGGUAUCUUUGCUGGCGCCUCAUGUGCAAGAAGGAAGAAACGAAUUUCUAUUGGGACAGAUAUCACUUGCUGUUUCUGUAUAUCAUGCUAGCCAUUAUAUGCUAAGUUGCUUUAUUUGCAUUAUUACAAAGCUACUCAAAAAAUGAGCUUAAAUUCUCAGAAUUCUGCUCUGCCACAUGCCUGAAUCAUUUAGCAUAACAAUUUUUCGUGAAGCAUAGAUUGCUACUAAUCGAUGAAUUAUAGAUUGUCAAGCAUCCCUGCUACUUGCAUUAAAAUGACAUGUACAAUUUCUGCUUGGGGAGUGUUGUUGAAAGCUGCAAGCUGAAUAUCCGUUGAGUGUGAAUUUUUCAUAUUUCGAUAGCUUUCAUGUAUGCAUAUCUUAGGAUGGAUACUUCCUGACCUUCCUCCCUCCUAUUUCAGUUGCGAAUUAAAAACUCUGAAAAACAAAGGAAGUCUCAUUCAGGGUGCUGUGCAUUGUAUAUUGCUGUCUUUUGCUAGAUCAGAGAAGGACGUCUUCUUUUCUGUAAAAGAUAUGCUGCUAGAUCCCCCAGGAGUGCAGAACUCAGUGGAAUUCUCACUUCAUUAUCACAGAAGAAAAAAAUGCUCUUUAAUAUUUUUUUAAUCUGUUCUUCCUUAACAUGUCCUUCAUUUCCACCAGCUUAAGAUUUGGCUUUGCCUUUACUACAAACUACUUUUGUUCUUUUUCUUUAGGUCUAAUAAGCUUAGAUUUCCUAUUUUUUUAAACUAUUAUAUAAAACAAUACUGAAAUACCUACCUCUUUGUGUGUGUGAGCUCCUUAGAAAUAACGCAUUCAUGUGAAAUUUGCAUGCUGCUAAGUCUUGCAUUUUACUGCCAGUCACUCUGAUGUACUGACAUUUCUUCAAGUCUUUGGCAGCUGUUAAAACAAUUCUUAUCAAUAAUAGGAAACCUGCUUGUCUUUUGUAUAUCUAAUUUGAGGAACUUGUUUUUCCCUUCAGAUGAGCUUUAGAAGUGAUCCUGGCCUUUAGGAUGAAGAAAGGAAGGGGUAUCAGCAGGGACAGAAUGUAACUUUUCCUUUCAGUCUGACUUGCCUACAGGGCACUGUUUAUGAUGAUUGGCUUGUUCCACUUCGGGGAGAAUGGCUACAAACUCUCUUUUCUCCCCCAGUCAGACACACUUUCUGACCGUAUUCGGGGGUAGGACAGCUUGGCUGGCUUGGAGGGAGGGAGAAUGGAGCAAAGCAUGUCUCCUCCAGGAGUGCUAUGUGAAAGAAAGUAUGAAACACGGCUUGACCACAGUGAGUGGAUGAGGAAGUGAUCCAGGUUCUUAAAGGCAGAUGUCCAGUGCUAUGGGAGAUUAGAAGCCUGUUGUAUCCUGCCUCUAGCUGUUCCCCAUUCACAAGCUUCACUGGGGAACAAGGUGCCUUCUUGGUAUUAAUGACACCAAACUGACUGGCCUAUGUCUCAAGGUCCAGCCUGUUACUGAGGAGGUGAGAAAGGCAUUUUCUCCUUUUGUGACAACUGUUUCUAUGUCCUUUUGAAGCACCAGAGAUUUCUCUGGAGGAAGAGAUGAGAAGGAUGCUCCGAGGGAAACAUACUCUCUCAGCAAGACUCAAACCUCACUUGUACCUUCACACCAGUGCCCAAAUUAAGUGGCAGGGAAAAACUCGCCAGACUAGUAGGGAUGUUUCUCUUUCACAGGCUAUUUCUCAUCCUACUGGAUUUACAGCCAUUGAAAAAGCCUCUGAUUUUAGAAAGGCUCGUGCCUCAAAUGCUUUUAAUCAAAAGUCCCGGUGCUUCAUGUGGGAGAGCUUCUCUGUGUGCAGCCAUUGCACAGUGCAUGCUAAGGUCCCUGUCACAAGAUAAAGAGUCCACAGUACUGAAGGGCACAAGAUCGAAAUCUCCCUGAUCUUGUAUAAUGCUGUUGCCACCUGACCAUUAAGUAGGUGGCCCGUCACAGAGUGAUAGAAGGUUACUGACCCCUCCUGCCCAGGAACAACUUCCAGGUCUAUUGCUGUCAUUAGCUUAGCACAGAUUACUUGGAUUAGCUUAGCACAGAUGCUAAGGGAUUCAUUCUCCUACCUCAUCCUUGACAGAACAGCCACUCUCAUUUUUCCCCAGCUGUAGAAAGCCAAUGGGUAUUUAAACUCCUAAAUUCCAGUCAGCAGAUGCUCUUGAAGCUGCAAUUGUCAUUAGGGCUGCUGCAUCACGGAGAAAGAGAACUUAGUGAGGCUGCCUAGACUGUUUUUGACUUAUAAGGCAGUAUCAGUCCCACUUUCACACAUUCCCAACUGAUUAAACUUGCUUUAAAAACUUCAGGGAUGUGCAAGAGCAGUUUCCAUAUUCCCUUACCUUUUGAUAUAUCUCGUUAAUUGUUAUCCAUGCUAAAUCUUUUCUGUUGCAUUUCAAACCCACUUCUAGCUGCAGGGUCAAGGAGGACUGUUUGCUACCUACCUGUUUACACGUCUCAAUCUUUUCUCCUCCAGGGUAAAUGCCCCCAACUAUAAGAUUGGCUGAGUGAGGGGAUGAUAAAUAAAGUUAAAUGUGUCAACUGAAAUGAACAUUAGCAUGUAAUCUCCAUGACACUGAAUUUGUAGGUCUAGUUUGAAGAUACUUUCAAAUCUUGAGGUUUCAAUCUCUCAUCACCAUCAUUCGUGACUCCAUUUCCCCUUUGUGCUUUCUUGUUUAUUUCAAAAGAGAGAAAAACCGCAGUGAAAAAUGAGGGCAGGAAAUAACAAAGUAGGACAGGAAGCAGAACGGGUCUCAUGGCCCAGGCGGUGAAGGGAAAAGGAUACAUAAUCAGUUCCAUGACGACACAGUCGAGAUCUGGGUCACCUUGUUCCCCUGCACCCUAUCGCAGAAACCACUUCCUCCAGAAAGUGGAGCACAAAAAUAUAGAGAAGAGAGAGUAGGGCUGGUAUGGCACGUGGCAGGGAGGCGGAGAAGCGUGCAGGAGAAGAGAGCAGACGUUAGACCACAAGCCAAAGUGAAACGGGGGUUAAGAUACCCUCCCUUCCUGUCCUCUCACCACAGCUUAAUCUUGAGUGGGGGGAGUUGUUGUGGGCAGAACAGCAAAGAUUGAGCCAUGUAUAGUGUAGGUGGGGGAAAGAAGAGUAAAAGAGAAAUUGAAAAGAGUGUUGGGUGGCAGGGAAGAAGAACUUAGCAGCAUAUAAGAUUUCUGCAUUUGCUGAUAGGUCUAUGCUGGAAAAUCCUUCUGCUUCUCUCUCUUUCAAAAGGGAAAGGAAGAAGCAGCAACAUACCAGUCAUCUCUCAUACUGGCAGGGAAAAUGUUGCCAUGGUCCACCUUGUCCACCUGUCCCCUCUGCCAGUUCCUGCCCCUAAUAGCUAACUGUGAGCUGGAGAUGAAUUUGCAUCUUUUGUAGGGGCUUUGUUGGAGAAAACACCCUGCCCUGCCUUUGUUACCCCUUAUUACACAUGGCCUUGUCCAAGAAACAGCCUCUCAUCCUCUUCCCAUGAACAGGGACCCUACAAUGGUCUUUCUAAGGAGCAGAGUCUGAAGAUCCCUAUAGAUUUGUUGAAGCUCAUUAAGGUGUGGAAGUACCUCUAGUAAGACCUGAAAUCUUAGGCUGAGGUUAUGGGAACCAGAGGCACUGAAAGUCAGUAAAAAUCACAAAAACAAAGCCAUUCAGAACGUACAUAAUUCUUGUUUCACGUGCUUCUGUGCAGUUCUUCCAAGUGGCCACAGGAAGCCUCUAAGGUUCUCUCUAAAGCAAAAGGACAGGGUAGACUGAGCUAGACAAACCCACAAGGAGGCACUCACAGCUUAUGAACAGCAGCGGGAGCAAUGGCAAAGGGGAGACCCUGCGUGUGUUCCUCCUCCUGUGAACAAGUUAGCUCAGUUUGUCACCAGUCUGGCUCGUGAAGGGCUCUUCUUAUCGGGAAAAGCAGCUCAUUUACUAUUUCUGCCUGCUGUCCAAUCCCAUCCCUGCUACCCUUCAGCACCCUAACACCACUCAGAGCUCGUACUUUCAUGCUGCUUAAUGGCCUGAGGGAGCUAAGAGCUGGCACAAGUUCUCUGUUCCCAGCAUAGAUCAGGACAGAAUCCUUCAAGAAAAGGGAAAGCCCUGUGCCCUCAAACCUUACUCUUCAGAGCCUAUAUUAGGCCAGGGACUUAGAAGCCCCAGGUUUCAAGCUUUUAUGGAUUUAACGGCUGCAGCACAGCCAGAAGUGCAAGAAAGAAGAGAGGUGGUUAAACAAGAGCCAUAACCCAGUGCUGAGAGGCUGAAGCUACUGGACCUCAUGUUUUAUUUUGUGGGUCUCAGUAGAUAAGAAUUUUUGUGUGUCAUAACCUGAAUACACAUUUUAUCUAUCCAGUAUUUCAACUGUAGAACAAACUAGACAAGUGUGAAGCAGGAUCAGCACAAGGAUGGAGCCCCACACCUUAAAGUAAUCCAGAUUAACUCUGCAGCUGAAGCUGGGGAGGUUGUAGUUGGCAGCACAUAAUAUUCCAUCCUGUGCCCAUAAUCUGAUCCUUACAGGGCUCUAAUUUUCUUGUCAGGGCAAAGACGCAAUGGGCCUCAACACGGAAGUCAGCCUUGGCUCGAGAAGGCAAAGGCCAAGAGCCAGAUCCAUCGAGUUUAGGCAUUUCAUCAUCCCUUACAGAGAAAGGAUUUUCAGGAAGCUUUAGUCUGAGGAGUGGCCUUCUUCAGAGGGCUGGAACAGCUCAAGUGCAGCUCUGCCCAACGCACUGGCACAGCUUGUCAGCUCUUUUCACUGGGGUUUAUCAGCGCUUCCGGCCGUACAAAAGCUAACAUUGCUCAAGUGGCUGUAUCACUACCAGGUCAUAGAGAGGCUGUAAGACCAGGAUGGCAAAUAUACCUUUGAGGGACAUGGGAGGCGUUGGGGGAGAAGACAGAUAAUGUUGGGGAGGUGCUAAAGGACUACCUUGGCUCCCUUCCAUUCAUGACCGCUAACCACAGUCUAAAACAAGUUUUCCACAGCUUUGAAACCAGGGGGGGGCGUUGGCAAGAUGCUUUCCACGAGAUAAAGGGGCAUGAAACUCUGAGGUGAAAAGUACGGUUGACAUUUGAGUUUCCAUGGCAACUUGUUUCCUGCUUCCCCCUAAAACUGGGGCACUGAAAAAAAAGCCAGCUGGG